Lutra lutra (Eurasian river otter) is the source of this 402-nucleotide long non-coding RNA. RefSeq lists it as uncharacterized. NCBI's taxonomy places the organism in Eukaryota, Metazoa, Chordata, Mammalia, Carnivora, Mustelidae. The record is from RefSeq and is a predicted model, not a curated record. The transcript has 3 exons.
CCUGAAUGAUACCAUCAGCUCUGACUGCCUGCAGCAGCAGCCUUGCAUGAGCGUAAGUGGCACGGGGCUACCUCAAGCCACAGUUCAACUCUGACUGCAGGUCUGACAAUGGGUCACUCACCUGUCAUACCUGCCAUAGACCUGUACAGGGGCUAAACCUCCACUCAGGGCAGAGGUCGAGGGCCCUGCACCACAGGCAGAGCAGCUGUGUGGGCGCAGGAGUGUGGAAGACUGAGUGAGUGUUUUGCAGAGAGAACUGCAGUGGGGCGUGGUUGACAGGAACGGUGUACUCGUAAUGGAUUCCAUAAUUUUGGUCAUGAAAUAACAGCACCUGGAUCAGCAGCAAAGAUCAAAGGCCGUUUUGAAAUGGAGCAGAAGCCCACAGGCUUGCAGAAUUGGCGA